RNAcentral lists this ribosomal RNA (429 nucleotides) under uncultured bacterium. RNAcentral describes it as "bacterial SSU rRNA". It matches the Rfam family "Bacterial small subunit ribosomal RNA", at positions 29 to 506 of the family's 1533-position model. The record is from RNAcentral.
ACGAACGCUGGCGGCAGGCUUAACACAUGCAAGUCGAACGCCCCGCAAGGGGAGUGGCAGGCGGGUGAGUAACGCGUGGGAACAUGCCCAAAGGUACGGAACAACUCCGGGAAACUGGAGCUAAUACCGUAUGUGCCCGAAAGGGGAAAGAUUUAUCGCCUUUGGAUUGGCCCGCGUCGGAUUAGCUAGUUGGUGGGGUAAAAGCCUACCAAGGCGACGAUCCGUAGCUGGUCUGAGAGGACGACCAGCCACACUGGGACGGAGACACGGCCCAGACUCCUACGGGAGGCAGCAGUGGGGAAUCUUGGACAAUGGGCGCAAGCCUGAUCCAGCCAUGCCGCGUGGAUGAUGAAGGCCUUAGGGUUGUAAAAUCCUUUCGCCGAGGACGAUAAUGACGGUACUCGGAGAAGAAGCUCCGGCUAACUUCGU